UACGAAGGGGGCUAGCGUUGCUCGGAAUGACUGGGCGUAAAGGGCGCGUAGGCGGUGCAUUUGGUCAGUCGUGAAAUUCCUGGGCUUAACCUGGGGACUGCGCUUGAGACGGGUGUGCUGGAGGGCAGGAGAGGCUCGCGGAAUUCCCAGUGUAGAGGUGAAAUUCGUAGAUAUUGGGAAGAACACCGGUGGCGAAGGCGGCGAGCUGGCCUGUACCUGACGCUGAGGCGCGACAGCGUGGGGAGCAAACAGG
RNAcentral lists this ribosomal RNA (253 nucleotides) under uncultured bacterium. Its description in RNAcentral is "partial 16S ribosomal RNA". It matches the Rfam family "Bacterial small subunit ribosomal RNA", at positions 524 to 776 of the family's 1533-position model. The record is from RNAcentral.